UGCGGGAUCGUCUAAUGGUCGGACGUCUGCCUUUGGAGCAGAAAAUUGGGGUUCGAUUCCCUAUCCCGCAG
This 71-nucleotide transfer RNA is filed under the name bacterium. Its description in RNAcentral is "tRNA-Gln". It matches the Rfam family "tRNA". Rfam says of the family: Transfer RNA (tRNA) molecules are approximately 80 nucleotides in length. The record is from RNAcentral.